ACCCGCGCGGGCACCCGCACAGCUCAUGCUGGAGCGGCAUGACAGAACCUAUCUAGGAAUCCUAAUAAUAUGUCUCAGAAGGGUCAGCCAAAUUGGCAAAUCUGCAAGGAGUCUUGCGCCCACGUGACAAUCAUGAGAUGACGGUUCUUGCGCUCCACCGCUGAUGUGCCGUCAACUAAUGUGGAACCCAUGUGUAAUCCAGCCAACCAAGCAACAAAAGGCGCCACUCAUCUCGACUCACCUGGCAGGAAUAAAAAUGACCAAGGAAGGUCAGCAUACGCAAGAGUUCUAAUAGAUUGAGAUACUCCACGGUGACAAAUAUGACUCCAUUCAUCUUGGUCAGGCGGCAUAGCAUGACCACUGCCGUGAGGAACGACGCAGGAGCUGCACUAAUUCCCUUGCCUUGGAAUAGUCUUCUUUAACUUUACCAGAAGCAAUCCAUACCUCUCACCUCAGCGUCUGCUUGGGUCUCAGCGUGCAUUCUUAUUAUCAGUGAUGGAGCACGUCGUCCAUUUCACUGAGAGGCAAUGAGAACGAACUGGCCAGAACAGGACCCAGCAGGGAAGACGCAGCAUCACCGACCACGCCGUUGUGCACACUGCUUGCUUGCCUUCCAGCACUCCCAGCCUGAGGACCAAGCCUCUCCUAUCCAGGUGGGAUCCGUUAUGUUGUCCUCGUCAACCUCGUCAUCUGCACCACCCGUGUGGACUGAUUAUGUUGCGACGACGACCCGAUCGUCACCACAUAUUUUUAUGGACUCAGAUGUUUCAGAUUACGAGGAAGACCUAAAUUUAUAUGACCAGCUGCCUGAUUUGGACUGAAUUUUCUCUCACAGUAAUGAGUCUCAAUCAGUUUGUUUCAAGGUCCCAUGCUUCCAUCCCCCGUGUGCCUUCGCCCUGUAAUUCCAAAUCCUCUUCCUCUAAUCCUUUCUGGGCGACCCGCUUGGCCAUCUAUCCGGGUCCUCCGCGUGGAUGCCAGAGGAGACGCCCAAGUAGGGUGCUGGCUUGUGCGUUCCACAGCUGUGCGACCAAGCCACAGUCGAUAUCCGCUCACGCUUCGCCGGCGACCAAGCCACAGCCGACCUCCGCCAACGCUUUGCCGACGACCCAGCCACAGCGGCAUCCCGCUUCUGCUCCAGUAACAGCCAAGCUACGGCUGAUGUCCAUCCACAUCUCGCCACCGGCCGAACCUCAGCCGACUUUCCCCAAUGCUU
This is a long non-coding RNA of Syngnathoides biaculeatus (alligator pipefish), 1213 nucleotides long. RefSeq lists it as uncharacterized. The record is from RefSeq and is a predicted model, not a curated record. NCBI's taxonomy places the organism in Eukaryota, Metazoa, Chordata, Actinopteri, Syngnathiformes, Syngnathidae. The transcript has 3 exons.